ACGGCUCAGUAACACGUAGCUAACCUACCCUUAGGACGUCGAUAACCCCGAGAAAUUGGGGCUAAUAGACGAUAGGUGUGAUGUCCUGGAAUGGUAUCACGCCCAAAGGUAUCCCAUACAUGUUUGGUAUACGCCUAAGGAUGGGGCUGCGGCCGAUCAGGCAGUUGGUGAGGUAAUGGCUCACCAAACCUUCGACCGGUACGGGCCAUGAGAGUGGUAGCCCGGAGAUGGACACUGAGACAAGGGUCCAGGCCCUACGGGGCGCAGCAGGCGCGAAACCUCCUCAAUGCACUAACGUGCGAAGGGGUUACCUCGAGUGCCACCUGAAGAAGGUGGCUUUUCCUUGGUCUAAAAAGCCUCGGGAAUAAGAGGGGGGCAAGACUGGUGUCAGCCGCCGCGGUAACACCAGCCCCUCGAGUGGUGGGGAUGAUUAUUUGGCCUAAAGCGUCCGUAGCCGGCCGGGUAAGUCUCCCGUUAAAUCCAACGUCUCAAGCGUUGGACUGCGGGAGAUACUGCCUGGCUAGAGAGUGAGAGAGGUCAGCGGUAUUCUGGGGGUAGGGGCGAAAUCCUUUGAUCCCCGGAGGACCACCAGUGGCGAAGGCUGCUGACUAGAACACGUCUGACGGUCAGGGACGAAAGCUGGGGUAGCGAACCGGAUUAGAUACCCGGGUAGUCCCAGCCGUAAACGAUGCAUGCUAGGUGUUGGGUUGGCCACGAGCCACCCCAGUGCCGCAGGGAAGCCGUUAAGCAUGCCGCCUGGGAAGUACGAUCGCAAGAUUGAAACUUAAAGGAAUUGGCGGGGGAGCACCACCAGGCGUGAAGCCUGCGGUUUAAUUGGAGUCAACGCCGGG
This 851-nucleotide ribosomal RNA is filed under the name uncultured archaeon. RNAcentral describes it as "bacterial SSU rRNA". It matches the Rfam family "Archaeal small subunit ribosomal RNA", at positions 85 to 922 of the family's 1478-position model. The record is from RNAcentral.